This 194-nucleotide microRNA precursor is filed under the name Oryza nivara. RNAcentral's name for it is "MIR812 microRNA precursor family". It matches the Rfam family "MIR812 microRNA precursor family". Lineage: Eukaryota; Viridiplantae; Streptophyta; Magnoliopsida; Poales; Poaceae. The record is from Rfam by way of RNAcentral.
UUUUAGAUAAACCCUGGGUUUUUAUGUCUAACGUUUGACUAUUUAUCUCAUAUAAUUUUUUUUUAUAAUUAGUAUUUUUAUUGUUAUUAGAUGAUAAAAUAUGAUUAAUAUUUUAUGUAUGACUUGUCUUUUUAAUUUUUUUAUAAUUUUUUUAAAUAAGACGAACGGUUAAAUAUUGAACAUGAAAAUCUAUA